AUACGUAGGUGGCAAGCGUUGUCCGGAUUUACUGGGUGUAAAGGGAGCGCAGGCGGGGAAGCAAGUCAGUUGUGAAAACUAUGGGCUUAACUCAUAGAUUGCAGUUGAAACUGUUUCUCUUGAGUGGGGUAGAGGUAAGCGGAAUUCCGAGUGUAACGGUGAAAUGUGUAGAGAUUCGGAGGAACACCAGUGGCGAAGGCGGCUUACUGGGCUCUAACUGACGCUGAGGCUCGAAAGUGUGGGGAGCAAACAGGAUUAGAUACCCUGGUAGUCCACACUGUAAACGAUGAUUACUAGGUGUGGGGGGUCUGACCCCUUCCGUGCCGCAGUUAACGCAAUAAGUAAUCCACCUGGGGAGUACGACCUCAAGGUUGAAACUCAAAGGAAUUGACGGGG
This 396-nucleotide ribosomal RNA is filed under the name uncultured bacterium. RNAcentral's name for it is "partial 16S ribosomal RNA". It matches the Rfam family "Bacterial small subunit ribosomal RNA", at positions 523 to 918 of the family's 1533-position model. The record is from RNAcentral.